RNAcentral lists this ribosomal RNA (253 nucleotides) under uncultured bacterium. RNAcentral describes it as "partial 16S ribosomal RNA". It matches the Rfam family "Bacterial small subunit ribosomal RNA", at positions 524 to 776 of the family's 1533-position model. The record is from RNAcentral.
UACGAAGGGGGCUAGCGUUGCUCGGAAUCACUGGGCGUAAAGGGCGCGUAGGCGGCUAGAUGUGUCAAAGGUGAAAUCCCUCGGCUCAACUGAGGAACUGCCUUUGAAACUGUCUGGCUUGAGGCCGGGAGAGGGUAGCGGAAUUCCCAGUGUAGCGGUGAAAUGCGUAGAUAUUGGGAGGAACACCAGUGGCGAAGGCGGCUACCUGGACCGGUUCUGACGCUGAGGAGCGAAAGCGUGGGGAGCGAACAGG